This 497-nucleotide ribosomal RNA is filed under the name uncultured bacterium. RNAcentral's name for it is "partial 16S ribosomal RNA". It matches the Rfam family "Bacterial small subunit ribosomal RNA", at positions 28 to 507 of the family's 1533-position model. The record is from RNAcentral.
GAUGAACGCUGGCGGCGUGCCUAAUACAUGCAAGUCGAGCGAACAGACGAGGAGCUUGCUCCUCUGACGUUAGCGGCGGACGGGUGAGUAACACGUGGAUAACCUACCUAUAAGACUGGGAUAACUUCGGGAAACCGGAGCUAAUACCGGAUAAUAUAUUGAACCGCAUGGUUCAAUAGUGAAAGACGGUUUCGCUGUCACUUAUAGAUGGAUCCGCGCCGCAUUAGCUAGUUGGUAAGGUAACGGCUUACCAAGGCAACGAUGCGUAGCCGACCUGAGAGGGUGAUCGCCCACCCUGGAACUUGGACACGGUCCAGGCUCCUGCGGGACGCAGCAGUAGGGAAUCUUCCGCAAUGGGCGAAAGCCUGACGGAGCGACGCCGCGUGAGUGAUGAAGGUCUUCGGAUCGUAAAACUCUGUUAUUAGUGAAGAACAAAUGUGUAAGUAACUAUGCACGUCUUGACGGUACCUAAUCAGAAAGCCCCGGCUAACUACGUG